ACAAAGUUAGUUGAAUCACUUUGUUACUGAGACAACGUCUAGUAAUAGUUUUAUCAACUAACAACCUGUUCGUUAAUCAAAACCGAUUUUGUGAUGUUUUCCUCAUCGUUUACCUCAUCCUUUUCCCCAUCAUCCUCAUCACAACCACUAGCACAACUUGCAACAGCAACAACAACACUUUCCUCAUCAUUAUCCUCACUGUCAUCCUUUGCAUCGCCAUCAGAAAAUUUGACUUCAAUUGACGAUCCAUUGAUAAAAGAGUAUGAAAAGUGUAAACAAGGAGUUCUUUCAAAUCCACCCAGUGAUCCAAGUUUAAAAUAUUGUCCACGAACCUUUGAUGGUUGGGGUUGCUGGAAUGACACACCGCCCGGUCAAACGGCCUACAUACCCUGUCCAAUGGCAGUGUUUGGAUUUCGAUCUGAUCGGUUUGCUUUUAAAAUUUGCCUGGAAGAUGGAACCUGGUUUCGCCAUCCAGUGACAAACAAAACUUGGAGCAACUACACAACUUGCAUUGACAAAGAUGAUCUCAAGUUUCGUCAAGCAGUAAAUAAUCUGUACAUUAUUGGAUACUCAAUCUCAGUUUUGGCUUUAAUCAUAUCUUUAAUCAUAUUCUUAUCAUUCAAAUCGCUUAAGUGUACAAGAAUAACAAUUCACAAAAAUUUAUUCAUUUCUUUCAUAAUCAACAAUCUAAUGUGGAUCAUGUGGUACACUUUGGUUGUUUCAAAUGUUGAAGUUGUCCAAUCAAACAGGUGGUACUGUCAGAUGCUCCAUGUUGUGGUCAAUUAUUUUUUACUAGCCAAUUAUUCAUGGACAUUCUGUGAAGGAUUGUAUCUUCAUACUCUUCUAGUUGUGGCCUUUGUGGCGGAAGAAAAGAUCAUGAAAUGGUUUUAUGUUAUUGGCUGGGGAAUCCCGUUGAUAUUUAUUGGCUUUUAUGCUGGAUUUCGUGGCUUAUCUUCAAAUGGCAAGACUAAUUAUUGCUGGAUUGACGAAAGUGCAUAUUCAUGGUGGUACACUGGACCAGUUCUUGUAUCUUUUGUGCUCAACUUAUUUUUCCUUGUAAACAUUGUUCGAGUGUUGGUAACCAAGAUGAGAGCAGUCAACUCUCCUGAUGCCCAUCAAACAAGGAAAGCGGUUAAAGCAACUCUCAUCUUACUUCCCUUGUUAGGGUUGCACUUCUUGGUUACACCAUUUCGACCUCCUGAGGGAACUCAUGCUGAGGAGGUUUAUGAGAUUGUUGCUGCCUUGGUUGCUUCACUUCAGGGUCUUUGCGUUGCAAUAUUGUUCUGUUUCUGCAAUGGCGAGGUUAUAGCGCAGUUCAAAAAAAGGUGGACACAAAUCGCAUUAACUCAUGGAGAUAACCGUAGGAUGUCUUAUGCUGCAACAAGUGUCUCGAGUGUUGCUCUUUAACAAGUACAUUCAACGUAAUUCGGACGCACACGCAACAAAGCCUUUAAAAGAAAAUGGAUUUGGAGAUAAAAGAUGAUUUCUUUGGACGCAAUCUCAUGGACUUUUGGUUCCAAUCUCAUCAGUUUAAUAGACAAAUUAACUUAUUAUAUCAAUUUGUACAAAAGGAGCAAAGUUGCUUAUUUUUUUAUAUCUGUGAUUAAAGUCUCUCAGAGUCUCCCUUGGAUUGUCAUCUAAUCAAAUAAUAACCUUUCACUUUGAGUAUCUUUUGUAAUAAUAUCGUCCAGUGUCAACAUUAACCUUUUUAUCCUCAUUAUCUUUCCAUUCUUCAUCUGACGAAUAUUCAUUCUCAUUUUCGAUUAAAAGAAACUUUUAUUCACAAAGUUCAUGUUAAAUAACUUGUGUAAACAGUUCAACAUUAAACUGUUUAAAUGAAGAGGAAGCAACUGAUUACCAUUAACUGUUGCCAAAUCAACAUUUCAAUGCUUUCAUUGAUAUUGAAAGUAAAUGUGUUUAAGUAAACAACAAAUUAAUCCAACACAAUCAACAAGGAAUCGUUGAAAGGCGCCUUCAAAGAUGAGUGAAUGGGAUUCGACUCUCAACUUGGAAUCGAAAGCGUAAAAAGGUUCAACCAACUAUUUUCAAACCUUCGUUUAUUGAUGUUGUACCGUUACCAAAACUACUGCCGAUCAUUGUUAAUAUUUCACUUGCUACCCAACUUAAGGCAACAAUUAUAAUCAACAGGGUAUUUAAACGAUAGUUUUUGUCUUCUUUGGCACUUCAAUCCUCGCAUCUUUGUUAAUGUUUUCACUUUCCAAUUGUAAUCUGUGAUGUUCAGUGUAUACAGAAAUAUAAAUAAAAUGUUGAUAAAAAACAGUAAA
Molecule: RNA transcript, 2285 nt
Organism: Tetranychus urticae (two-spotted spider mite)
Lineage: Eukaryota; Metazoa; Arthropoda; Arachnida; Trombidiformes; Tetranychidae
Gene name: calcitonin gene-related peptide type 1 receptor
Source: RefSeq, a predicted model, not a curated record